This is a non-coding RNA of Macaca mulatta (Rhesus monkey), 868 nucleotides long. The record is from RefSeq and is a predicted model, not a curated record. NCBI's taxonomy places the organism in Eukaryota, Metazoa, Chordata, Mammalia, Primates, Cercopithecidae.
UUUUAAGUUAUACACAGGAUUAUAUCAUGUUAGAAUUCUGACCUUAUUAUCUUUAUUUGGAAACUAGGGUUUGGUAUGGUGAAGAGAUGUCUAAGUGCCAAGUUGACAAGGGGUAGACUUGUGAUGUUAAUUUUAUGUGUCACCUUGACUGAGCUAAAGGGUGACCAGAUAGCUAACAAAACAUGUUUCCUAGGUAUAUCUGUGAAGGUGUCUAGAAGAGAUCAGCAAUCUAACUGAACUGAGUAAAGCAGAAGGGCCCUUCGCAACGUUGGUGCGCAUCAUCUAAUCCAUUGAAAGUCUGAACAGAAAAAGCCAGAGGGAGAGCAAAUUCGCUCUCUGCUUGAGUUGAUGUCCAUUUUCUCCUGCCUUCAGACAUCAGACAUUGGUAUUCCCAGUUCUCUGGACCCAUUGAACUCACAACUCACAAGCCGUUAGAUUCAGGCUGAAUUACACCACCAGCUUUCCUAGUUUUCCAGCUUGCCGAUGGCAGAUCAUGGCACAACAAGGUCUCCAUAACCAUGAGCCAUAGUGAUAUUACUGAACCUAUGAACAUCAGGACACACAAAUCUGCAGAAAGAUGAUAACUUAUUUCACAAGUUAAUUGUUCUUUUAAGGGAAUACUUAAAAACCUCUACCUGAAGUCCACAUGGACAGCUGAAGAAAGUACUUCCACAUAACAUUCUGUGAAGCAUGACUUCUCAUUCAUCUUCAGGGAUUGCUUCUAUCAGAUUCUUCAAGAUAAUUUUGUUCCUAUUUAACUCAAGGUUUUCUUGUACUUGCAUAAACAUUAAGUAAUAACUAUUAAUAUAUUGUCUCUAUGAACAAGUAAAAUUUUGCAAAUAGUUAAACAUCAGUGUGAUGUUACAAA